CACUUACUCCCUCCAUCCAAAAAUACUUGUCAUCAAAAUGGAUAAAAAGGGAUAUAUCUAUAACUAAAAUAUGUCUAGAUACAUCUCCUUUUAUUCAUUUUGAUGACAAGUAUUUCGGGACGGAGGUAGUGUCGG
This is a non-coding RNA of Triticum aestivum (bread wheat), 135 nucleotides long. Lineage: Eukaryota; Viridiplantae; Streptophyta; Magnoliopsida; Poales; Poaceae. The record is from Rfam.